Molecule: ribosomal RNA, 439 nt
Filed under: uncultured bacterium
Lineage: Bacteria
Description: bacterial SSU rRNA
Rfam family: Bacterial small subunit ribosomal RNA
Source: RNAcentral
AACGCGAAGAACCUUACCCAGGCUCGAAAUGCAGAGGCAACCGACAGAGAUGUCGGGUUCCGCAAGGACUUCUGUAUAGGUGCUGCAUGGCUGUCGUCAGCUCGUGUCGUGAGAUGUUGGGUUAAGUCCCGCAACGAGCGCAACCCUUAUCUCCAGUUGCCAUCAUUCAGUUGGGCACUCUGGCGAAACCGCCUCGGAUAACGGGGAGGAAGGUGGGGAUGACGUCAAGUCCUCAUGGCCUUUAUGUCCAGGGCUACACACGUGCUACAAUGGCCGGUAUAAACCGCUGCAAACCCGCGAGGGGGAGCUAAUCGGAAAAAGCCGGCCUCAGUUCGGAUUGCAGUCUGCAACUCGACUGCAUGAAGCUGGAAUCGCUAGUAAUCGCAGAUCAGAAUGCUGCGGUGAAUACGUUCCCGGGCCUUGUACACACCGACUGUAC